AAACAAGCAAUCCUAAUAAUACCUGAAAACACACCAGACGUGAUAGACGAUACAUCAUUGCUCAAAUCAAUUGGGGAUGAAGCAUACAAAACCCAAGUUUGCCCAUUAUUUAGCUUGAUGGUAUAUUUAGUACGAUUACCAUUGGGUGAACAUUCAAGAAUGGCGUGAAUUGUCGAAAUCGAUAUGGCUACAUUUUCAAUAACACUACACGUAAUAAAGGGAGAACCUUUAACAAGAAAGAACCUAAGUUUGCUAGAGGGAAGGUCUAAUGUGACA
RNAcentral lists this unclassified non-coding RNA (276 nucleotides) under Hevea brasiliensis (rubber tree). The record is from RNAcentral. Lineage: Eukaryota; Viridiplantae; Streptophyta; Magnoliopsida; Malpighiales; Euphorbiaceae.